This is a long non-coding RNA of Exaiptasia diaphana, 170 nucleotides long. RefSeq lists it as uncharacterized. The record is from RefSeq and is a predicted model, not a curated record. The transcript is spliced from 3 exons. Lineage: Eukaryota; Metazoa; Cnidaria; Anthozoa; Actiniaria; Aiptasiidae.
AUACCAUUGCCUGGUCAAACUCGGAAGGUGUAUUUGCAUCAAGUGAUGGUGGAAAUAGUUUUGUAAAAGUUUCUUGGCCAUUUUCUCAGYCUAUGUUAAUCCUCGAAGUGGUGUUUCAUCCUUUCUACCAAAGCUACUUCUUCCUUGUGCAUGACUCGAAUGACUCGAAA